GGGUCGUUAGCUCAGUUGGUAGAGCAGUUGACUUUUAAUCAAUUGGUCUCAGGUUCGAGCCGAGCGAAGCGAGACGACAACGCGCAGCGUUGCCCGCAGGGUGAGGCCAGAGGCCGAAUCAAUCCUGCACGACUUACCA
RNAcentral lists this transfer RNA (139 nucleotides) under Serratia liquefaciens. RNAcentral describes it as "tRNA-Lys". It matches the Rfam family "RtT RNA". Rfam says of the family: This family represents a bacterial cis-regulatory element known as RtT RNA. The exact function of RtT is unknown although it is thought that it may be involved in changing the cellular response in relation to amino acid starvation. The record is from RNAcentral. Lineage: Bacteria; Pseudomonadati; Pseudomonadota; Gammaproteobacteria; Enterobacterales; Yersiniaceae.